Long non-coding RNA from Hibiscus syriacus, 293 nucleotides. RefSeq lists it as uncharacterized. The transcript has 3 exons. The record is from RefSeq and is a predicted model, not a curated record. Lineage: Eukaryota; Viridiplantae; Streptophyta; Magnoliopsida; Malvales; Malvaceae.
UUGUGAUCAGUGCCUAUCCUCGUGUCAUUCAAUCAUCUUAUUUGAAGUCCCCGCCGGUGAGCUCUGAUAUUCCGUCCGUAUGGUUUCUUAUUGAUGGGGUCGUAAUUGAUAUCCAUGAAACCAAAGAUUUCUUGGUAAAAGCAUCGGAUGUCCUACGGUAGAUCCUCAUUGUUGGAGUUGGAGGAGAAGAAUUCAAAGAAAUGGAGAUUUUAGAUGCUGACAAGGGGGAAAGACUUGAAAGCUUAACCGGAGAAGUUACUUCACUCCAUAUUGUUCAAUUGUUCCAUUUAGAU